This is a non-coding RNA of Pelobates cultripes (western spadefoot toad), 221 nucleotides long. Lineage: Eukaryota; Metazoa; Chordata; Amphibia; Anura; Pelobatidae. The record is from the annotation of a GenBank genome assembly.
AGAGAACUGGUUUUGCUCCCCAGCGGCAGCCGCAGUUACUGGGAGAGGAGAUGAUCGAUCACUCUACCCUACAGCAGAAAGCGUCCUGGGAAGUGGAGGAAACCGGCCUCACCCUCAAGUAGGCAAUUCCUCCUCUCAGCAGCAGAUUCUCAACCGGGUCCUGGGGGUAGUGGAGGCUGGCGGUCUCCACUAACCCCCUUCCAGUGGAGCUGGCAUCAGAG